GGUCCCAGUUCGGAUGUAGGCUGCAACUCGCCUACAUGAAGUCGGAGUUGCUAGUAAUCGCGGAUCAGAAUGCCGCGGUGAAUGCGUUCCCGGGUCUUGUACACACCGCCCGUCACACCAUGGAAGUUGGGGCGCCCGAAGUUGGUCGAGGAAUAGAUUACCUAAGGCGAAACCAAUGACUGGGGUGAAGUCGUAACAAGGUAAC
This 205-nucleotide ribosomal RNA is filed under the name uncultured bacterium. RNAcentral describes it as "partial 16S ribosomal RNA". It matches the Rfam family "Bacterial small subunit ribosomal RNA", at positions 1284 to 1500 of the family's 1533-position model. The record is from RNAcentral.